GGAAUAUCCUACGGGAGGCAGCAGUGGGGAAUCUUGCGCAAUGGGCGAAAGCCUGACGCAGCCAUGCCGCGUGAAUGAUGAAGGUCUUAGGAUUGUAAAAUUCUUUCACCGGGGACGAUAAUGACGGUACCCGGAGAAGAAGCCCCGGCUAACUUCGUGCCAGCAGCCGCGGUAAUACGAAGGGGGCUAGCGUUGCUCGGAAUUACUGGGCGUAAAGGGCGCGUAGGCGGACAGUUAAGUCGGGGGUGAAAGCCCGGGGCUCAACCUCGGAAUUGCCUUCGAUACUGGCUGUCUUGAGUACGGGAGAGGUGUGUGGAACUCCGAGUGUAGAGGUGAAAUUCGUAGAUAUUCGGAAGAACACCAGUGGCGAAGGCGACACACUGGCCCGUUACUGACGCUGAGGCGCGAAAGCGUGGGGAGCAAACAGGAUUAGAUACCCUGGUAGUCCACGCCGUAAACGAUGAGUGCUAGUUGUCGGCAUGCAUGCAUGUCGGUGACGCAGCUAACGCAUUAAGCACUCCGCCUGGGGAGUACGGUCGCAAGAUUAAAACUCAA
RNAcentral lists this ribosomal RNA (555 nucleotides) under Phenylobacterium sp. enrichment culture. RNAcentral's name for it is "bacterial SSU rRNA". It matches the Rfam family "Bacterial small subunit ribosomal RNA", at positions 331 to 904 of the family's 1533-position model. The record is from RNAcentral. Lineage: Bacteria; Pseudomonadati; Pseudomonadota; Alphaproteobacteria; Caulobacterales; Caulobacteraceae.